RNAcentral lists this transfer RNA (68 nucleotides) under Schistocephalus solidus. It matches the Rfam family "tRNA". Rfam says of the family: Transfer RNA (tRNA) molecules are approximately 80 nucleotides in length. Their secondary structure includes four short double-helical elements and three loops (D, anti-codon, and T loops). Lineage: Eukaryota; Metazoa; Platyhelminthes; Cestoda; Diphyllobothriidea; Diphyllobothriidae. The record is from Rfam by way of RNAcentral.
GGAAUUGCUUAAUGGUAGAGCUUUCGACUCAAAUACCAAAGGCGUGGGUUUAAAUCCCAGGUGUUCCA